This is a long non-coding RNA of Mycetomoellerius zeteki, 260 nucleotides long. RefSeq lists it as uncharacterized. The transcript has 3 exons. Lineage: Eukaryota; Metazoa; Arthropoda; Insecta; Hymenoptera; Formicidae. The record is from RefSeq and is a predicted model, not a curated record.
CACAACUGGCACGAAAUCGCACUGUGUUAAGAUCUUUUUGAAUUAAUUCUACAGUAUAUACGUGUUUUGUCCUCCCUUUUACCUACUAUAUAUUCAUUUCAUUAAACUUCAUUACAUUUUCCUAAUCGCGAAACAGGCCGCAUCUGAAUCCGAUGAUGAUAAGUGAGCUCUUCUUAUUAUUCGAAUUUAUUACUGUAUACACGCAAGAUGAAGAUACUAUUAGAUGUUUUAAACAAUCUCUUCUUUUAAAAUAAUUACUU